GCGAGGAGGAGGAGGCUGCGCGUCGCAGUGGGGAAAAACGCAGAGGAGCCGAGAGUCCUGCAUCCUUGGCCUGGACCUGCUGUCCCGCCGGAGGGGGGGCCCCGCGUGGAUGUGUCGGGGGCAACAUUCUACCUCGGCGCUGAAGGUGUGGCUCUCCGGCAGGGCAGCUCCAGGAAGCGGUCCCAGCAGCAACAGCAACCUCCGCCGGUCUCACAGCGGCCCGCGGCAGUGCAGCACACCCGGCAGCGGCCCAACGCAAUAGCGACAGUGACGGUCAGCAACGACCUCCCCACCAUGGACCCGCAGCUGCGCAGCGAACUGGCCCGGCUGAGGGAAUGGCUGACUGUGGGACGACGGCCGGAGUGGGCAGAAGUCUCCGCCCUGGACCCAGAGACCAAGCCCCUGUACUCUCUGGAGGUUCACGACGGGUUGCCGUUCAGGCGGUGGUGACAGACUCUUGCAGCUGGUGGUCCCCCGGGGCUCUGUGCCAUGGUGCUGCGGUCAGUGCACGGGCUGCUGGGGGCCGGACAUCUGUUGGGCAGGCAGCGUGGACGUUUCUGCUGGCCUGGGUACAGGCAGGAUGUGGAGCUGUUUGUGCACGGCUGCAACGUCUGCAAGUCCCAGAAGGGACUGGGCCACCAGUCUAGGGUGCCAAAGCAGUGGUACAUGGUAGGGGCCCCACAGCAUCUCUGCAGUGUCCCCGUUAAAGUGGUGUCCUCGGUCUUCAUGUACUGACAUCAGCAACAAUGGAUCGUGUCUCCGUAUCUCCCGAUGGUAUUCCUGUAAAUGAGGCAAGAGAAUGAGGGCCUAUGCUGUAUAAAUGCGAACACUCCAGUGAUAGAAAUACCAAUGACUGUGCCCUGAGGAUGUCACCUCGACUGCCGAUGAGACGUCUGCAAAUUAAUUGCUUUGCUUGGCGAACACCACAACAUCAAACACCUCAACCUGAGCUAUCAAUACUCACCAGCAUCCUAAACCAAGAAGUAUUGUCCUCAGGAAAUAUGGCCAAAGCCCAUAGCCUGUGCCUUGGCUUCGAUGGAUUGAUUGACUGUGAGUCUGGCUACUGGUCUGGUUGACUUGAUGUCACCUUGGACUUUGAAAACUGGCCGCCCUUCACAUUAGCUGAGAUCCCGAUGGUGACUUCAGAUGAGCCUGACCCCAACGAGAUAAAGAGAGAAGAUGCUGGAGAGGACCAGUGGUAGGAUUUGAUCUGAUGUGGUUCUACUCCUGUUGGAGCCUGUUAUCUACAUUCUGACAGUCUGUUCUCGGGUCGAUUGGGUGAUCUGGUGCUUUGCUGUCUCCAAGAGGAUACCAUGAGGCUACGGGCAAAGCGGGCAGAAUGGAGGGCAGGAAAUCUGGAUACAGGGCAUGGGCCUACACUCGACUCCUUCUCACUGAUCCUUUUUUGUUGCUAUUUGCGUGAUUUGCUUUUUUAUUCUUUGAAUUGGUUCCCUGGUUUGUCUUUGCCUCAUGGCUGUCUGUGGGGUAUAUAAAACUCAGAGUUGUAUAUUGCAUAUAUACUUUGCUAAUCAAUGUACUUUGAAUAAAAUGCUGGAUCUUCUCAUUGAAAUCCUGCUCCUGGUCUGACCAAGUCACAAGAUGCAAGUGGUAAUUCCCCGUGGUAAUAUUGGUCUCUAUAGAAACCCCAUUGGGAAUGCAAUGAUGGAGUAAAAUGACCAGCAAGUCCCAGAUUUUUGCUUUUCACAGGGGUUCUAAAAAUAUAACAUGAUUUGGCCUUUGAUUUUUCAUGAUUUUGUGAAAGAUUUUAGCUAUUAAAACCUAUCCUACUCUCAAUUUCAAUGUUCAGCAGACUGAAGAAAAGAUAGAUACAUUUUCUAAUUCUUGCUUGCAAGAGUGUUGAGAAAAACUUCCGAGAAAAUGCUCAAAGGAAAAAGAAAUCUAAAGCUGUAGCUGCAAUGCUACUUGAAGAUGCCUGAAUUAAUGCUGCAGAUCAAUAAUAAUGGCAGUAAACAUUGUAAAAUACUGGUGGAAAGAUCAUGA
This is a long non-coding RNA of Mobula hypostoma (lesser devil ray), 2001 nucleotides long. RefSeq lists it as uncharacterized. NCBI's taxonomy places the organism in Eukaryota, Metazoa, Chordata, Chondrichthyes, Myliobatiformes, Myliobatidae. The transcript has 4 exons. The record is from RefSeq and is a predicted model, not a curated record.